UGCGUAGGCGGUCUUUCAAGCCAGAAGUGAAAGGCUACGGCUCAACCGUAGUAAGCUUUUGGAACUGUAAGACUUGAGUGCAGGAGAGGAGAGUGGAAUUCCUAGUGUAGCGGUGAAAUGCGUAGAUAUUAGGAGGAACACCAGUUGCGAAGGCGGCUCUCUGGACUGUAACUGACGCUGAGGCACGAAAGCGUGGGAGCAAACA
This 205-nucleotide ribosomal RNA is filed under the name uncultured bacterium. Its description in RNAcentral is "partial 16S ribosomal RNA". It matches the Rfam family "Bacterial small subunit ribosomal RNA", at positions 568 to 774 of the family's 1533-position model. The record is from RNAcentral.